AGAGUUUGAUCAUGGCUCAGAUUGAACGCUGGCGGCAUGCCUUACACAUGCAAGUCGAACGGUAACAGGCCGCAAGGUGCUGACGAGUGGCGAACGGGUGAGUAACACAUCGGAACGUGCCUGAUAGUGGGGGAUAACUACUCGAAAGAGUGGCUAAUACCGCAUAAGAUCUCAGGAUGAAAGCAGGGGACCGCAAGGCCUUGCGCUAACAGAGCGGCCGAUGGCAGAUUAGGUAGUUGGUGGGAUAAAAGCUUACCAAGCCGACGAUCUGAGCUGGUACUGAGAGGACGACCAGCCACACUGGGACUGAGACACGGCCCAGACUCCUACGGGAGGCAGCAGUGGGGAAUUUUGGACAAUGGGCGCAAGCCUGAUCCAGCAAUGCCGCGUGCAGGAUGAAGGCCUUCGGGUUGUAAACUGCUCUUGUACGGAACGAAAAGCUUCUCUCUAAUGACAGGGGUCCAUGACCGUACCGUAAGAAUAAGCACCGGCUAACCACGUGCCAGCAGCCGCGGUAAUAC
RNAcentral lists this ribosomal RNA (521 nucleotides) under uncultured bacterium. RNAcentral's name for it is "bacterial SSU rRNA". It matches the Rfam family "Bacterial small subunit ribosomal RNA", at positions 8 to 526 of the family's 1533-position model. The record is from RNAcentral.